This 108-nucleotide non-coding RNA is filed under the name Scleropages formosus (Asian bonytongue). Its description in RNAcentral is "Eukaryotic large subunit ribosomal RNA". It matches the Rfam family "Eukaryotic large subunit ribosomal RNA", at positions 2877 to 2984 of the family's 3401-position model. Lineage: Eukaryota; Metazoa; Chordata; Actinopteri; Osteoglossiformes; Osteoglossidae. The record is from Rfam by way of RNAcentral.
UUCAAUGUUGGCUCUUGCUAUCAUUGUGAAGCAGAAUUCAACAAACAUUGGAUUGUCUACUCAGUAGUUAGGAACAUGUGCUGGGUUUCAAACAUCGCAAGACAGGUU